GGGCCCUGUCAUGGCACCCUAUAUUAUUCUACCACCUGUAACCCUAAAACCCUCCCUAAUCUGGUCAUCUAUGUCUCUAGCUUUCCAAGCUAUCUGCUUAGCUACAACGCUUUCUCUUAGCUGUCCACGUGAUCCUUCAUUUAAUAAUACACAGCGAGGUUAAUUUGUUUUCUUGUCUGUAUGAUUCCCUGCUUCAAGCAUCUGCCUCUCUUCUCAUAUCCACUCCGGCCCCCUUAUCCAUAUAUUUAAGCGAUCCCCUGGUUCACGAACUCUAGGGUUUCUUUUCUUUCUUUUCUCCGGUUAUUUCUUGUUUUAUGCUCUUGUUGAUCAUCGAUGUUUUCUCUUUUGAGCCUUUUUAUAUAUAUUCUCAUCUCUUUUGAAAAUUUUCCUUUUUUCUUUCAACCAGAUUUUUGUGAUCAUUAUCCUGUGUUUUUUCCUUUCUGCUUCUGCUGCUUUUUUCUCUUGAAGAGAAUCGUCAAAUUAAGCUGUGUUCAUGGAGGCAAGAGCUGCAGAAUUCACAAGGGAAAAGGUGAAGCUGCCAGCAUGAUCUAGCUUUGGUUAGAGGGAAAGAGAAGGGUUGAUUUUACUAACCCUAACUAGGUCAUGCUCUGACAGCCUCACUCUUUCCUAUUUGGGGACACAAAUGCAAUAGAUUCCAAACAUCCCUCAAAUCUGAUGGAAAGGUCACAGCGUUAUUGGAGAAUUUUCCUAUGACAGUUGGGUGCAAAUUUGUAUGUUGGACUCUUUUUUUUCCCUUCUUUUAACCCAAUCAUGCAAGUUUCCUGGAUUAUCUAAUUUAUAUUGCUAAUUUUACUGUUUGUAUGAUAUUUACUAUUCAUUGUAUCUCUUUGGCUAUUCACUGACUUUUCUUUGUUUCAGUUCUACUCAUUUUCGAUUUCUUUUGCAUCUACAAGAUAGUUAUACUGUUACAUGUUUCAUUAAACGAUGAAGUAUCCGUUCCUAUACAUCUACUGGCAAGUUCUCAAUCUUCCUUUCUUAUUUUCCUUGGUUAGCGUGAAGAACAGAAGAUUAAUCAGGCUUUAUUUAUCUGCAGAAAAUCAUUUGUAUUUGAAAAAUAUUUAUUAAACCAAAAAAAUUAUUGCAUCAUUAUGAAGCAUUAAGGAAAUGAAAAUCCUGUAAGGAAAAAAGAAAUUUUCUUGCUGGAAGAAUGAAACUUCUUUUCCUUUUUUCCUCGUUAAUUACUGUGUUCAAUGUAAUUUUAUCUUUUACAUGAACAAGGCUUCAUUGCCUAUAUGUUUGAUACUGAUGAAAUCUAGAACAAGGAACGAACAUCUCUAUGCGGAUGUUUAAGGCUUGAAGCUGAGCUGGUAUUUUACUGGUGUGUCCAAUAUUAUCUGUUAAUUUUGGCAACACAAUCAAUCUAAAUGGAAUCAAAGACUUGGUGCCAUUAAAUCAGUUACUUGAAUUUCAACCUUCAGUAUUGUGCUUUCUGUGUUUUCUUUUUUUCUUGGUUUAUAUUCAUAAACGAUUAGCAAAGGCUUGGGGUCCAAUGCAAGGUAGACUGUUCUGUUGUAGGAACAUAAACUGGAAUUCGAGAAAAUAAGGCAGCUCGAGGUAUAAUAUUCCUACCCCAAAACGCAAGGCUCGUAGGGCUAAGAGCUCGAGAAACUCUAGCGUGUUUUAUCAUAUAUAAAUCCCACAAAGAUUAUAAAAACACAGAGUUCAAGAGCUUCAUAUAUAAUAGAGUUCAAUGUGGAUCUAAAGUUAUUUCGGUUUUGAGAGAUAGAUUCAAAAGCAUUAGCUAAUGCUUUCUAAACUUCGAAGGAAGAAGAAAGUCCAAUGAGGUAUGGAAAAAUUUCUUCAGAAACAGAGAAAGAUCACCUAUUAGAGCAACAUCUGAUAUUUUUGAAACUAUAUAUCAUAGUCAGGACAAAAGUGAGUUCAAAGGUUAUAGACGAAGCGAUAGUUUUAUGGUUUUGGCUGGAAAAGCAGAAGAGCACUCAACAAAUCCAUGAAUUUUUUGAUAAAUUGAUAAAGGAGUGAAUUGAGUUUUCUAGGCAAGCUAGUUUUUGGUAUUCAAUUUUAUGGAAAAAGUGCGAUGAGCAAAAGCUGGAGAUGAAGAAAUGGGGGAGGUUACGGCUGAUUGCGUACUGUUUGAAGAAUUCAAAAUGACAAAAGAUUGAAUGACUUUGAAUCAUGUACCCUCUCCUCUAUUCGGCUUUGAUUACUGUCAUAGUCUGCAGAAUAUGUUCCAAAAUUUUUAUAUUUAAAUCAUAAAAUUGGAAAGAACGUUACAUUGGAAAUCUUAUUUUAAUGGAUUUUAUUUUUUAAUUGAA
Long non-coding RNA from Manihot esculenta (cassava), 2297 nucleotides. RefSeq lists it as uncharacterized. The transcript is spliced from 2 exons. NCBI's taxonomy places the organism in Eukaryota, Viridiplantae, Streptophyta, Magnoliopsida, Malpighiales, Euphorbiaceae. The record is from RefSeq and is a predicted model, not a curated record.